UCCUGCCAGUAGUCAUAUGCUUGUCUCAAAGAUUAAGCCAUGCAAGUGUAAGUAUAAUUGUUUUACGGUGAAACUGCGAAUGGCUCAUUAAAUCAGUUAUAGUUUAUUUGAUGCUAUAGGUCGAAAGGCCACUACAUGGAUAUCUGUAGUAACAUAGAGCUAAUACAUGCAAUAUAGUCUGACUUUUUGGAAGGACUAGCACUUAUUAGAUAUUAAACCAGUCCCAGCAAUGGGUUUUAUGGUGAUUCAUAGUAACUGAACAAAUCACAUGGUCUUGUACCGGUGAUGUUUCAUUCAAAUUUCUGCCCUAUCAACUAGAUGGUAGUAUAUAGGACUACCAUGGUUGUAACGGGUAACGGAGGAUUAGGGUUUGAUUCCGGAGAAGGAGCAUGAGAAACGGCUACUAUUUCUUAAGGAAAGCAGCAGGCGCGCAAAUUA
Molecule: ribosomal RNA, 438 nt
Filed under: uncultured eukaryote
Lineage: Eukaryota
Description: bacterial SSU rRNA
Rfam family: Eukaryotic small subunit ribosomal RNA
Source: RNAcentral